GCGUGCUUACACAUGCAAGUCGAACGCUCUCUGGCAUUAGUCAGAGGGAGUGGCGGACGGGUGAGUAACACGUGGGUAACCUACCUCAAGGUGAGGAAUACCAACGAGAAAUCGUUGACAAUCCCACAUGAGCUUCUUAGGGAGCAAAGCUUCUCGUAUUGAGAGGCGCCUUGAGAUGGGCCUGCGCCUGAUUAUGCUAGUUGGUGGGGUAAAAGCCUACCAAGGCGACGAUCAGUAGCUGGUCUGAGAGGACGAUCAGCCACACUGGGAUUGAGAACGGCCCAGACUCCUACGGGAGGCAGCAGUGAGGAAUUUUCCGCAAUGGACGCAAGUCUGACGGAGCAACGCCGCGUGCAGGAGGAAGGUCUUCGGAUCGUAAACUGCUUUUAUCGAGGAAGAGAACGGACGGUACUCGAUGAAUAAGCCCCGGCUAACUACGUGCCAGCAGCCGCGGUAAUACGUAGGGGGCGAGCGUUGUCCGGAUUUAUUGGGCGUAAAGGGCCCGCAGGCGGUCCGCCAAGUUUGGGGUGAAAGCUC
This 537-nucleotide ribosomal RNA is filed under the name uncultured bacterium. RNAcentral describes it as "bacterial SSU rRNA". It matches the Rfam family "Bacterial small subunit ribosomal RNA", at positions 42 to 603 of the family's 1533-position model. The record is from RNAcentral.